Molecule: long non-coding RNA, 1228 nt
Organism: Helianthus annuus (common sunflower)
Lineage: Eukaryota; Viridiplantae; Streptophyta; Magnoliopsida; Asterales; Asteraceae
Exons: 6
Source: RefSeq, a predicted model, not a curated record
UUCACCUCAGAUUGUCCUUUACACGUCCCUCCUCCCUCACUCACCACCCCACAACAAGCAAUCUCUCUCUUACAAGAAAGUAACACCGAAGAUGAUGGCAAGGUCUCCGGCGAAAGAAAAGAACAGAUUUGACAAACUAGGGAUCCAGGUGACCGAUCUACUUUAGUGAACCAAUGACUGCGAUACGACUAAACCUACGAUUCCGGCAAAAGAGAACACCGACAAGCAUUGGCAAAGCUUUAAGGGGCGGCCGACCUCCUGUUUUAUAGAAAUUUUUAGGUCCGGUGACUUCCGCCUCGUCGGAAAUCUCAAGCCGCCGACAAGGGAUCUUCCGACGAUUAAGAUCCUAUUGUUGAAGAAAUUAGUAAGCCGCUAUAUUUAAAGACUCAGGUGUUAAAAGCUGCUAUGAAACCAUGAAAAUGGAUUUUCAUCAAGGUCAUGGUGUAGAGGUGAUUACUUAAUAUUACAUUCUAUCAUUAUUCUUUUAUGUUACAUUGAGGUGUCUUUUGAUCAAAAAGUACACAGAUAAACAAAUAUGCAUAGGGUUUUCCAUGCUGCACCUUUUUUUUCUAACCAUCAAACAACAAGUAAUUAAAUUAAAGAUAUAGAAUUAGAGACAAAGUGAGGUGAAAAUAUUAAGUUGCUUAUGUGAUAUUGAGCCUUCACAAACGGUUGCUACACAUUUGUUUGUGGUCUAUAUGAUGUUGAGCAUGGCAAGUCAAAGUCCGAUCACAAGCCGGAGCAUAAGGAAGGUAUUAUUGAUAUGCAUAAGAACAAAAUUCACGGCGAAGAUAGCGCCAGCAAGGAAGAGUGCGGUGAAGGUGAUCGACGUGUCUUUUAUAGACAAAAAGGAGAAUGAAGGUCAUCGCGGCGACGACGAUAGCAGUAGAAGCAACGACAGCAAUAAGAUCUCAACUGUUGUUCAGUGGUACUGUGUGCUGAUUGGUGGAACGGAGAUAGCGUGGUAACUGGAGGGGUGGAUUCAAAGCUGUGAAUAUCUUCUAAAGUUUGUAUUUCAUAACUGUGAAGAAAGGCGAGUGAUGGUUACUAAUAGCAAGUUUGGCAUCUUUGAAUUAAAGAGAUAUUUAGGGUCUUUGUCUCAGUCGAUGUAUUUGCCAAACUGCACAAUAUUGAUUUAUCACCAAAUCAUUAAUAUUUUACACUUUAAUGUUUUCCUUGCGAAACAUGUUUUGUGUGAUUCAAGCUUACUGAUGUUUUUUAAGUUUUG